Long non-coding RNA from Aphis gossypii (cotton aphid), 1793 nucleotides. RefSeq lists it as uncharacterized. The record is from RefSeq and is a predicted model, not a curated record. The transcript is spliced from 3 exons. NCBI's taxonomy places the organism in Eukaryota, Metazoa, Arthropoda, Insecta, Hemiptera, Aphididae.
UAAUCUUUGCAAACAUAGAAUUACUAAUAUAGUAAUAUGUUAGUAAAUGUUAAGUAGGUACUAAAAUUAUUUUCAAAUCGACAUCAUAGACAUCAUAUUUAAACCUAUCAUAAACUAUUAAUAAUUAUUAUCUUUACAUAAAGCUAAAUAAUUCAGGCACUACUCGAUGAUUAAAUUUUAAUUUACAUACCUACUUGUAUUUGAAAAAUUGAAAAAUAAAUAAUUUGCAUAUCAAUAUACCAAUAUACAAUAAAAAUGGGUAAGUGGCAAGUGCCCAUUAAUAAUAAGCGUAUUGUUUGGAAAUGAUAUGUUUAUAUUGACACAGAACAAUUAUUAAAAGGUAUUAAAAAUUUGUUUUGGCCUUUAUAAAUAUACCUACUUAAAAAUAACAAAAAUUAGAAUUUGAAUAUAUUCAUUGUUAAUGGAAAAUAAAGGUGAGUAUGCUUAGGAAAUCACUCUGUAAAUUGUGAAUUAUUUAAAAGCAUAACAAAUAGUGUGUAAUAUAUUAUUAAGGUACCUAUAUAGUAUGUCAUACAAUAGUUCAACUCGUAGGAGUUGAUAGUAUCUUGCUUUUAUACUUUCAGAUAUUUGUAUUUAUUUUUUUUUUAUAUAUUUACAGGACACUCAAAAAGUACAUGGUUUAUUUUUAUUUUUUUUUUAAACUUAAACACGAAUUCAUAACACAUGUUGAAUUUUAUUAUGACAUUUUGUGUAGACAAUUUAGUGCCCAAUUGUGUUGGUAUUCAAAAGCCAAAAACGUGCUCAAUCAUUCGAUUCCAAAUAUUCCCCAUAGCAACCAAAAUCGAUUGCAAUUUCUUCUUUUUCUAAUCCCUAGCGAUAACAACAUUUACAAAUGACAUAGAAUUUUAAUGAGAUUUUCUACUUUAUUUAUUAUUAUUUUUUAAAUGUUGUUUUAGAUAAUUCAUUUUGACUAUAACGAAUUGAAAAAAAAAAUAGAAGCAUUAGUGGUUUAAGAUGACUAAACCAAAUGGAGUAUAGACUUUAUUUAGUUUCUACUUUCUACCUUCUAAAUUACCACGAUCGUGUGCGUCCUACAAUCUUCAAUCACUUUAAGUGGUCAUAUUGAACUAGCCAGUAGCUUGAAAUGCGUGUGAGAUAAAGGUGAAACUAAUAAUUAAAUAAAAAUCCCACGGAUAAUGAAAAAAAAAAUAAAAGUCGUCAAAUGAUUGAUAAAAAAAUCUUCAAUGUGUCAGUUCUCUUAGGAGUUGGGGAAGAUGUAUAAAAUAAAGACAAAAUAUUGUUGGCCCAAACAUGACAUGUGUGCUAAAUUUGCUAUGACCCGUGAAUAAGAUAUAUUUUUCAAACCAGAGACAGACUUUUCCUGUUGGACCGCCUUUAAAGAUGGGCAGCGGACUGUUCGUUCAAAUACUAAUUAGAGGCAAUCCUGCAGCUUAUGUCAGUAAAGUAAAAUAUACAUUAAUAAUAUUGAUGUCGAAGACGUUAUUGACAUCACUAUUUCCGUUAACAAAAACAAAAAUAAUUUAUUAAGUAAACAACUGUCAAUUUUUUUAAACUCAAUACUCGUAUUAUAUAUUCUAUUUUUAUGAAGUACAAAAUAUGAUUUAUUUUGCUUAGUAAUUAAUAGUUUAUUUAAGGUCAACGAGUUCUAAAGACUUCAAAAUAAUCAGGAGUUUAGGUAAAUCGAAAAUAUCCCUAAAUUUAAUAUGAUAAACAGAAUGAAACAAAUUUGAGUGCCGAUUAGUUUUUCGUGCCGAAUUGCAGAUAUCAUAAAUCCGCCACUGCCUAGUGUUUAUUACAAUUUGCAGCAGUAU